RNAcentral lists this ribosomal RNA (500 nucleotides) under uncultured bacterium. RNAcentral's name for it is "partial 16S ribosomal RNA". It matches the Rfam family "Bacterial small subunit ribosomal RNA", at positions 30 to 523 of the family's 1533-position model. The record is from RNAcentral.
AUUGAACGCUGGCGGAAUGCUUUACACAUGCAAGUCGAACGGCAGCACGGACUUCGGUCUGGUGGCGAGUGGCGAACGGGUGAGUAAUGUAUCGGAACGUGUCCAGUCGUGGGGGAUAACGUAGUGAAAAUUACGCUAAUACCGCAUACGAUCUAUGGAUGAAAGCGGGGGAUCGCAAGACCUCGCGCGAUUGGAGCGGCCGAUAUCAGAUUAGGUAGUUGGUGGGGUAAAGGCCCACCAAGCCAACGAUCUGUAGCUGGUCUGAGAGGACGACCAGCCACACUGGAACUGAGACACGGUCCAGACUCGUACGGGAGGCAGCAGUGGGGAAUUUUGGACAAUGGGCGAAAGCCUGAUCCAGCCAUUCCGCGUGCAGGAUGAAGGCCCUCGGGUUGUAAACUGCUUUUGUACAGAACGAAAAGGUUUCUACUAAUACUAGGAGCUCAUGACGGUACUGUAAGAAUAAGCACCGGCUAACUACGUGCCAGCCGCCGCAGUAA